Molecule: microRNA precursor, 84 nt
Filed under: Bos taurus (domestic cattle)
Lineage: Eukaryota; Metazoa; Chordata; Mammalia; Artiodactyla; Bovidae
Also listed under: 5 other names
Description: mir-544 microRNA precursor family
Rfam family: mir-544 microRNA precursor family
Source: Rfam by way of RNAcentral
AUCACCUGGGAUCUUGUUAAAAUGCAGAUUCUUGUUCAGAAGCCUGAGAUCCUGCAUUUCUAACAAGCUUCCAGGUGCUAAUGA